RNAcentral lists this small nuclear RNA (23 nucleotides) under Arabidopsis thaliana (thale cress). RNAcentral's name for it is "snRNA_00262". The record is from RNAcentral. Lineage: Eukaryota; Viridiplantae; Streptophyta; Magnoliopsida; Brassicales; Brassicaceae.
AAAAUGGAAUUCUUCUAUUGUUU